GAUAAAAAAAGACCCAAAACUAUUCCAAUUGUUUUGGGUCUAGGGGAAUGGCUCUGAUUAAAGAGCCGUGCGCUACUGGUGAGAAUUUACUCUCUGGCUAAUAGUGUAGCCGAUGUCG
This 118-nucleotide small RNA is filed under the name Shewanella hanedai. The record is from RNAcentral. Lineage: Bacteria; Pseudomonadati; Pseudomonadota; Gammaproteobacteria; Alteromonadales; Shewanellaceae.